RNAcentral lists this ribosomal RNA (459 nucleotides) under uncultured bacterium. RNAcentral's name for it is "partial 16S ribosomal RNA". It matches the Rfam family "Bacterial small subunit ribosomal RNA", at positions 338 to 795 of the family's 1533-position model. The record is from RNAcentral.
CCUACGGGUGGCAGCAGUGAGGAAUAUUGGUCAAUGGCCGAGAGGCUGAACCAGCCAAGUCGCGUGAGGGAUGACUGUCCUAUGGAUUGUAAACCUCUUUUAUCCGGGAGUAAAGUCACCCACGUGUGGGUGUUGGAGAGUACCGUAAGAAAAAGCAUCGGCUAACUCCGUGCCAGCAGCCGCGGUAAUACGGAGGAUGCGAGCGUUAUCCGGAUUUAUUGGGUUUAAAGGGAGCGUAGGCGGGUUAUCAAGUCGGCGGUAAAAUCGUGGGGCUCAACCCCAACCAGCCGUUGAAACUGGUGAUCUUGAGUGGGCGAGAAGUAUGCGGAAUGCGUGGUGUAGCGGUGAAAUGCUUAGAUAUCACGAAGAACUCCGAUUGCGAAGGCAGCAUGCCGGAGCGCAACUGACGCUGAAGCACGAAAGCGUGGGUAUCGAACAGGAUUAGAUACCCUGGUAGUC